GCUGUGGUUAGGGAACUAGAAGCAACAGAUGAAGCAGAAGGAGAAGCAGCCAGACCUGGGAGGCAGAGGUCAACAGGAUGCCUACAAACAGGCUCAAAUAAUAAUCCACGGACCUGGCACACUACAUCUUUCUAAAAUGAAUGGCUCGUUGGCCUGCUGUACCACUGUGCAAGUGACCAUAGGGGUGAGGAAGGAGAACGGGCACCUCGCCAAUCAUCUGGACCUCAGGGCAUGAAAACACAGAAAAGGGAUUCAGUUCCAGGAAGGACCAGGCUGCCUUUCACAUCCAGGCUAAAUUGCCCUUCAGUUCCCUGUGAGGAGCAAAGAACACUUAUGGUACAUAAAGAAGUAUACAGUGGAUUGAC
Molecule: long non-coding RNA, 365 nt
Organism: Meriones unguiculatus (Mongolian gerbil)
Lineage: Eukaryota; Metazoa; Chordata; Mammalia; Rodentia; Muridae
Exons: 3
Source: RefSeq, a predicted model, not a curated record